RNAcentral lists this ribosomal RNA (336 nucleotides) under Hyperolius cinnamomeoventris (cinnamon-bellied reed frog). RNAcentral describes it as "partial 12S ribosomal RNA". It matches the Rfam family "Bacterial small subunit ribosomal RNA", at positions 875 to 1403 of the family's 1533-position model. The record is from RNAcentral. Lineage: Eukaryota; Metazoa; Chordata; Amphibia; Anura; Hyperoliidae.
AAAACCAAAGAACUACGAGUGCAAGCUUAAAACCCAAAGGACUUGACGGUGCCACCCACCUAGAGGAGCCUGUUCUAUAAUCGAUACUCCCCUUCACCUCACCAUUUUUAGCCUCUCAGCCUGUAUACCUCCGUCGUAAGCUUACCCUAUGAAUGUAUUAGUAAGCCAAAGGUUAGGUCAAGGUGCAGCUCAUAAAAUGGAAAGAAUGGGCUACAAUUUCUAACCUAGACAAACGAACUGUAUGAAACCGUUACGAAGGCGGAUUUAGCAGUAAAAAGAAAAUAGAGUGUUCUUUUUAAUCAGGCCCUGGGACGCGUACACACCGCCCGUCAUCCU